RNAcentral lists this ribosomal RNA (445 nucleotides) under uncultured bacterium. Its description in RNAcentral is "bacterial SSU rRNA". It matches the Rfam family "Bacterial small subunit ribosomal RNA", at positions 28 to 475 of the family's 1533-position model. The record is from RNAcentral.
GAUUAACGCUAGCGGCAGGCCUAAUACAUGCAAGUCGAGGGGCAGCAGGGUGUAGCAAUACAUCGCUGGCGACCGGCGCACGGGUGCGUAACACGUAUGCAACCUACCUUUAACUGGGGAAUAGCCCUCCGAAAGGAGGAUUAACACCGCAUAACAUCACGAGACGGCAUCGCCUUGUGAUCAAACCUCCGGGGGUUAAAAUGGGCAUGCGUCCGAUUAGCUAGUUGGCGGGGUAACGGCCCACCAAGGCGACGAUCGGUAGGGGUCUGAGAGGAUGAUCCCCCACACUGGUACUGAGACACGGACCAGACUCCUACGGGAGGCAGCAGUAAGGAAUAUUGGACAAUGGUCGCAAGACUGAUCCAGCCAUGCCGCGUGCAGGAUGAACGAUCUAUGAUCUGUAAACUGCUUUUGUCGGAAUAACCCUUACGUGUGAGGCUGAAUG